This 576-nucleotide ribosomal RNA is filed under the name Kluyveromyces marxianus. RNAcentral describes it as "eukaryotic LSU rRNA". It matches the Rfam family "Eukaryotic large subunit ribosomal RNA", at positions 65 to 664 of the family's 3401-position model. Lineage: Eukaryota; Fungi; Ascomycota; Saccharomycetes; Saccharomycetales; Saccharomycetaceae. The record is from RNAcentral.
CCAACCGGGAUUGCCUUAGUAACGGCGAGUGAAGCGGCAAAAGCUCAAAUUUGAAAUCUGGCGUCUUCGACGUCCGAGUUGUAAUUUGAAGAAGGCGACUUUGUAGCUGGUCCUUGUCUAUGUUCCUUGGAACAGGACGUCAUAGAGGGUGAGAAUCCCGUGUGGCGAGGAUCCCAGUUAUUUGUAAAGUGCUUUCGACGAGUCGAGUUGUUUGGGAAUGCAGCUCUAAGUGGGUGGUAAAUUCCAUCUAAAGCUAAAUAUUGGCGAGAGACCGAUAGCGAACAAGUACAGUGAUGGAAAGAUGAAAAGAACUUUGAAAAGAGAGUGAAAAAGUACGUGAAAUUGUUGAAAGGGAAGGGCAUUUGAUCAGACAUGGCGUUUGCUUCGGCUUUCGCUGGGCCAGCAUCAGUUUUAGCGGUUGGAUAAAUCCUCGGGAAUGUGGCUCUGCUUCGGUAGAGUGUUAUAGCCCGUGGGAAUACAGCCAGCUGGGACUGAGGAUUGCGACUUUUGUCAAGGAUGCUGGCGUAAUGGUUAAAUGCCGCCCGUCUUGAAACACGGACCUCCUGUGUGAAGUGA